Molecule: non-coding RNA, 96 nt
Organism: Streptomyces sp.
Lineage: Bacteria; Bacillati; Actinomycetota; Actinomycetes; Kitasatosporales; Streptomycetaceae
Source: Rfam
CGAACCGAAGCGGGAGAGCCCUCGUCCACCCUUGGCGAGGCGCCGAAGGAGCAACUCUCCCCAGAAUCUCUCAGGCCCAACUACCGCUUCGGCUAG